GGGAAGUUGGCUCAGUGGUAGAGUGCUUGCCUUGCAUGCAUGAGGCCCUGGGUUCCAUUCCUCAGCUCCACA
Non-coding RNA from Dipodomys ordii (Ord's kangaroo rat), 72 nucleotides. NCBI's taxonomy places the organism in Eukaryota, Metazoa, Chordata, Mammalia, Rodentia, Heteromyidae. The record is from Rfam.